AGUGAACGCUGGCGGCGUGCCUAAUACAUGCAAGUCGAACGAACGAAUAAGAGCUUGCUCUUAUCAGUUAGUGGCGCACGGGUGAGUAAUAUAUAGCUAAUCUGCCUCUUAGUAGAGGAUAACAGUCGGAAACGAUUGCUAAUACUCUAUACUUCUGCUUUACAUAGGUAAAGUAGAGAAAGUUUUUCGCUAAGAGAUGAGGCUAUACUGUAUCAGCUAGUUGGUAAGGUAACGGCUUACCAAGGCUAUGACGCAUAACUGGUCUGAGAGGAUGAUCAGUCACAUUGGAACUGAGACACGGUCCAAACUCCUACGGGAGGCAGCAGUAGGGAAUAUUGCGCAAUGGGGGAAACCCUGACGCAGCAACGCCCCGUGGAGGAUGACACUUUUCGGAGCGUAAACUCCUUUUAUCGGGAAAGAAUAAUGACGGUACCCGAUGAAUAAGCACCGGCUAACUCCGUG
Molecule: ribosomal RNA, 462 nt
Filed under: uncultured bacterium
Lineage: Bacteria
Description: partial 16S ribosomal RNA
Rfam family: Bacterial small subunit ribosomal RNA
Source: RNAcentral